Molecule: ribosomal RNA, 162 nt
Filed under: uncultured bacterium
Lineage: Bacteria
Description: partial 16S ribosomal RNA
Rfam family: Bacterial small subunit ribosomal RNA
Source: RNAcentral
UAGGGAAUUUUCGUCAAUGGGGGCAACCCUGAACGAGCAAUGCCGCGUGACCGAAGAAGGUCUUCGGAUUGUAAAGCUCUGUUGCCGGGGAAAAAGGAAGGAAAGAGGAAAUGCUUUUCUUUGGAUGGUACCCGGCCAGAAAGUCACGGCUAACUACGUGCC